AAGAGAGGGAGGGAGAGAGAGAAAGUCACAGAUAUGCAGAAUGAUAAAUGGACAAGUUCAUUGAUCGAUAUUCAUAUACAGUCAGACAUAUAGAGAGACACACAGAUAGAAUGAGAUAGAUAGAUACAUACAUACAUACAUAAAUAGAUAGACCCAGACAGAUAUAUAGCGAUACAGUUAGAUAUAAUGACAGAUAGACAGAAAGGUAGACUUUUUUUAAUUGUUCUUUUGGAAAUAACUUGGAAAUAAUGGUGAACUUUCAAAUAGUCAGAAGAACCCGAGCCUUUACCCAUAAUUUCACCUUCAAAACUAAUUUGAAAUUCAAAUAUAAAAGUUUCAAAAUUGAACUUAGCUCAAAAUAUCUCCAGAUUAAAAAUGAGACACACACACACACACAUACACACACCCUACCAUCCUAACUUUGGGGAGGUUGGGAAGCGAGGGAUUGCAAAACUGCUUUCAUUCCCCUUUAACUCCUGAAAAAAUAUAAUCAUGCAAGUCUGUAGAUCAAAAUGAUUGCUAAAUUAAUCCCCAUAUUCUAAGUCUUCCCUUUCUGAGGAUUUCAUCAUAGGAUGACAGAAUAUUUGUUUUAACAAGAUAAAAGUGACAAAUAACUUAAAAUAUGUUAGAAAAGCUCCCUAAUUUGGAAAAAGAAUGUCAGUUGGGAAUGAUCAGCAGUGAGCUGUUGAGCUUGAUAGACACUUAUCUGAGCCAAUCCUCAGUCCUUCCAUUGGCCCUUGUGACUGUAUCCUAACCCAUUUUCCCCCAUAGCAUUUCUUUUCCCCACAAUUGUCCCAUAGAAUUCACCUAUAGAUUGCAAAUCUCUCUCGCCAUGCUGAGAUUAUCUUUCUUACUACCAAUUCUUUCUAGGCUUCAUGAUUUCUUUCCUAACUUCUUCUGAUUCGACUUUGAGACAACCCAGCACUCUGGAAUCUUUGCUGGAACUUCUCCAAUGAACAGAUGUUCCUUUCCAUCCUCUUAACAAGGUUUCUACCCAAACAUAUCGGAAUAAGUGGUUGCAGGCAAGCAAAGCAUAUGAUGGUGCCCCUGUGGUUUUCAGAUGGCUCAGCAGAUGUAUUUGGUUCAAGAUUGGAGGGGGAGUGGCAGACAUACAGUUUGGCCAGUGAGGUGAGUGGCUGUAGCAGACUGCAUGAUGGGCCUCCAUUUUCAAGAGGAGACACAUUCUCAUUGAUACAU
RNAcentral lists this long non-coding RNA (1197 nucleotides) under Monodelphis domestica (gray short-tailed opossum). Its description in RNAcentral is "lncRNA (ENSMODG00000042789.1)". Lineage: Eukaryota; Metazoa; Chordata; Mammalia; Didelphimorphia; Didelphidae. The record is from RNAcentral.